CCUACGGGGGGCUGCAGUGGGGAAUAUUGCACAAUGGGCGCAAGCCUGAUGCAGCCAUGCCGCGUGUGUGAAGAAGGCCUUCGGGUUGUAAAGCACUUUCAGCGGGGAGGAAGGCGUUAAGGUUAAUAACCUUGGCGAUUGACGUUACCCGCAGAAGAAGCACCGGCUAACUCCGUGCCAGCAGCCGCGGUAAUACGGAGGGUGCAAGCGUUAAUCGGAAUUACUGGGCGUAAAGCGCACGCAGGCGGUCUGUCAAGUCGGAUGUGAAAUCCCCGGGCUCAACCUGGGAACUGCAUUCGAAACUGGCAGGCUAGAGUCCUGUAGAGGGGGGUAGAAUUCCAGGUGUAGCGGUGAAAUGCGUAGAGAUCUGGAGGAAUACCGGUGGCGAAGGCGGCCCCCUGGACAAAGACUGACGCUCAGGUGCGAAAGCGUGGGGAGCAAACAGGAUUAGAUACCCGAGUAGUC
Molecule: ribosomal RNA, 465 nt
Filed under: uncultured Klebsiella sp.
Lineage: Bacteria; Pseudomonadati; Pseudomonadota; Gammaproteobacteria; Enterobacterales; Enterobacteriaceae
Description: bacterial SSU rRNA
Rfam family: Bacterial small subunit ribosomal RNA
Source: RNAcentral